RNAcentral lists this ribosomal RNA (407 nucleotides) under uncultured bacterium. Its description in RNAcentral is "partial 16S ribosomal RNA". It matches the Rfam family "Bacterial small subunit ribosomal RNA", at positions 30 to 526 of the family's 1533-position model. The record is from RNAcentral.
AUUGAACGCUGGCGGCAGGCCUAACACAUGCAAGUCGAGCGGAGCGGCGGACGGGUGCGUAAUGCCUAGGAAUCUGCCUGGUCGUGGGGGAUAACGUCCGGAAACGGGCGCUGAUGCCGCAUCCUCUUGGCAGAGCAUAUGUCGGAGUAGCUAUUUGGUGGGGUAAAGGCCGACCAAGGCGACGAUCCGUAACUGGUCUGAGAGGAUGAUCAGUCACACUGGAACUGAGACACGGUCAAGACUCCUACGGGAGGCAGCAGUGGUGAAUAUUGAACAAUGGGCGAAAGCCUGAUCCAGCCAUGCCGCGUGUGUGAAGAAGGUCUUCGGAUUGUAAAGUACUUUAAGCUAGGAGGCGUUACCCGCAGAAUAAGCACCGGCUAACUCCGUGCCAGCAGCCGCGGUAAUAC